AUGUCGGUGUUGCUGUUACCACCAGGGCCGUGUCAGUGUCACCACCGGGUCCGUGCCAGUGCUGGUGUCACCGCCGGGGCUGUGUCGCUGUCACCACCAGGGCUGUGCUGGUGUCACCGUGCCAGUGUCACCGUGCCAGUGUCACCGUGCCAGUGUCGCUGUCACUGUCACUGCCGGGGCUGUGCCGGUGUCACCAUGCCGGUGUCAGUGCCAGUGUCGCUGUCACCGUGCCGGUGUCACCGUGCUGGUGUCGCUGUCCCCGCCGGGGCCAUGUCGCUGUCACCGUGCUGGUGUCGCUGUCACUGUGCCGGUGUCACCGUGCCGGUGUCGCUGUCCCCGCUGGGGCCGUGUCGCUGUCACCGUGACGGUGUCGCUGUCACCGUGCAGGUGUCACUGUCGCUGUCACCGCCAGGCCGCUGUUGCUGUCACCGUGCCAGUGUCACCAUGCCAGUGUCACUGUCGCUGUCACCGUGCCGGUGUCGCUGUCGCUGUCACCGUGCCGGUGUUGCUGUCACCGUGCCGGUGUCACUGUGCCGGUGUAGCUGUCACUGUGCCGGUGUUUCUGUGCCACUGUCACUGUCACCAUGCCAGUGUCACCGUGCCGGUGUCAGUGUCACCGUGUCGCUGUCACCGUGCCGGUGUCUCCGUGCCGGUGUCUCUGUCGCUGUCACCGUGCCGGUGUCACCGUGCCGGUGCCGCUGUCCCUGUCACUGUGUCGCUGUCACUGUGCCGGUGUCACUGUCGCUGUCACCGCCGGGCCGCUGUCGCCCUCUGCCGCCGCCCGGCCGCCACUGCAGGUGUCGCGGGGCGCUCGGGCUGUCCCGCGGGGGGAGAAGCGGGUUGAACAUCCCGGUGGAGGCGGGAAGGAAGCGGCGUCAGAGCCGAGGAACGGAGGGUUCGGCACCGGAGAAGCUUCUCGGCCCGAGCUGGCCCCGGGAAGGCUGUGUCCUGGGGGGAGCAGCCGCUGCUCGGGGUAAGGGGUUGGAAGCCCACCCUGGUGACGUUCCGUGGGGAUGAUGAAGGUCCCUUCGAGGCUCCCGCUGCUCCGGGUACCAGGGAAAGCAUCACCAGCUCUGCCCAGCAGGACCUGGCUCCGGCAAACCUGCAGGAGAUGGGGAACGGUGCUCAGGGGUGUCCUGGGAAGCCCAGCAGGAAAUGGGGAUGGAACCCCCAAAACCAAACCUUCCCUUCCCAGCUGGUGCAAGGGGAUGGAGCAGAGCUGUGAGAAUGCUGGUGGCUGUCCCCAGUGCAGGGACACGGCCAGGUCCCCCCAAGAGCGUCCCGGGCCGAGGCUCCUCCCCAGCUCUCAGCAUGGAGAACUUCAUCCCUCCCUCUCCCCUUGGCUGUUCCUUCCCAACCACAUCACAUGCCAGGCCAGCUUUAAGCAAAAUAAACCCCGUUGCCACAGUUACCCAGAGCAGGGAUGCUAAAUAUACAGGAUAUAGAUAUUUUUAUAUAUAUUUAACUGCCAUGCACAGAGCCCGAGAAAGGGACACGCUCCCCCACGGGAUCUGAGCCCUGCAGGCCCCAGUGUGGCUCCCAGAUGGGCACAGAUCCCUCUGUGGCCUGGAUUCCUGCCCGGAUUCGCCCCUCUGGGCUCACCUGAACCCACCUGGUGGCUUUGUCUGUGUCGCUGUCACCCUGUGUGGCACAGCCAGACCUCCUCUCCUGCGCUGCGAGCAUCCCCAAAUCGCAGCUCCUGGUCCUGCCAUCAGCUCCUCCUGCCCUGCCAGCACUCAGCAGAAGGAUGUCACCCAUGGAAACUUGAAGCCAGGCGUUCCCAGGGAUUCACUCUGCCUACUCUCCGCAGUGGUUGGGGAGGAAAAUUCCAUCUUUGAUAGUAAAAAGUGGAUAAUUAGCGGGUUUUGCACCGCCCACAAGAUCCCAGCGCUAAUAGGGGGAGCUGGCAGGAAGGGAGAACUCGCUCCACCAUGAGGAAUGUGGCUGAGGCACCCCUGGGUGAGGUUCAUCGGCACUCAGACCCCCAGGAGGGAAGGGAAGGAUCCCCCAGAGGAUCCGUGAGUGGCAGUGGGGCCGGCCCAGCAUGGGGAGCGUUCCCUGCUGAUGAGCAAAUCCUCCUUUUUCCUCCCCGCCAGGAAUUCCGGGUUGGCUCAGUGGCGUUGCAGCCAUCCCAACUGUCCCCCUCCCUCCCCAAAUCUCGGACAGGUUUAGCAGGUGCCAGCCCAGCACCAAUCCCAGGGAUUUUCCUCACAAAUAGGAUGAAUUAACCCCAGCGCACAUUUGCAUCCACACCUUGAUUUUCCUUGUCGGAUGCUCGGGAGCUUCCUCCCUGUUCCAGGUGAUUCGGGGGUGCUGGGGUGGGACAGAGAGGCUCAGAUCUCCUUCCUCCUCCUCACCUGGGUCCUGGAAGGAGAAUCAGCAUCCCCUGGGCCAGCCUCAGCAACUCCCUUGGGAUCAGCCACUGGGAUUCAGCGGGGUCCCGGGGCAGGGGGAAGAUGGAGGUGGCAGGGGAGGGGGUGCCCAGACCCCCACCCCACACCGGGAGCACCCAGCCGGGUCCUUCCCCACCUCCCCGAGCCCCUCCCCAUUGCUCCUCACCCUGGGGGGCUCAGGAGAGCAGAGAGGGGGAGAUGGGAAAGGGUUUGGUGCUGGAAAGUGGGGGGACAAGGAUAAAACACACACAUCCCCCCCAGCUGUGCUCCAAAAACCCUUCAGCACCCCCGGGCAGGCUGUGACCCAGCCGGGGGGCGCUGCCAGGGACCCCCCCUGCCCCCCAGGCCCUGCCGUGAGGGUGGGCACGGCGGGGACGAGCACUCACGGUUCCCGGGGGGGAUGCAGGACGAUGUCCCCAGGCUGGGAGCGGUGCGGGAUUCACCGCUGCGAAGGAAAAAACUCCCAAGUGGCGGUAGGAAAUCGGCAGGAAAGGGGGAAGAGGGAGGGAUAACGGGAUACCCGACGGGAGAGCGCCUGGCCGGGGCUCGGGGCAGCAUCUUCCUCACCUGCGGCACCGGCGACACCGGGAGGGGCUCCAGCAGCGCCAGAACAGCAUCGAACCCCCUCCUCAGCCUCCUCACCCACCCCCCAAACUGCGGAGGGCCCCCGGAGAAUGCAGCGAUGCUCCCGGGAGCAUCAUCGACCCCCGGCGCCCCCUCCCCACCAACCCCCGGGGGGAGGACGAGCUUUGCCCCCCGCCCCGGGACCCCUCCGGAGCCCUCGGGAGCCGCUCGGUCCAUCCGUGGCUCCGGAGCCCCGCGGGACAAAAGGGGCGGAAAAAGCCGCGGGAAAUGAUGCGGCGGUGACGCGUCCCGGUGUGACGUCACGGCGGGUUUUUGGGGUGUGACGUCACGGCGCGGCAGCAAGCAAGCACCUGGCUAAGAGCCGCCUCUUCAUCGCUG
Molecule: long non-coding RNA, 3356 nt
Filed under: Taeniopygia guttata (zebra finch)
Lineage: Eukaryota; Metazoa; Chordata; Aves; Passeriformes; Estrildidae
Description: lncRNA (ENSTGUG00000021648.1)
Source: RNAcentral